AUGGGGAAAAAGAGGAAACAUGAUCAGGGAAGGGACGACGAGUCGACCUCCUCCGAUGCCAAGCGGUAUAGGUCUUGCCACUGCCAGAACAGAAGGAUGUUAAGUGAUGGAAUGUCUCGGGAGGGGUUUUCAGAUACCUUCUGUGACGCAGUAAUCGAACUGAAAGACGCCAUACAGGUUAAACUGGCCACGGAGGAAAAGCUUGAUAGAAAAAUUAUAAGGCUUAAGCAAAAGAGGAAAAAAGAUAAGAACAAACAUAAGGAAGAUAUCAGAAUACUGAAGGAAGAUUUCACAAUACUCAAGAAAUAUUUCAGAAUACUGAAGGAAUCUCAUGAAGAGCUCAAUUCAAAAAUCCAAGAGAUGCGAAAAGAAGGGUGUGCUGAAGUAAAUCAUUACAAUAAAUCUGCAUCUCAGAGAUCGCAAGUAAGCCAAUCAACAAGGUUUCGACUAGUAAUUGAAAAUAAUGUGAGCAGAACAAUUUACAAAAAGGAAACUGUAGAGACCGAGGAUGGAGGAGGUCACAUAAAAGUUGCCAUGUAUGAUGGUGUCAAUCGAAUUGCACAUGACCACCUUCUUGCUUCAGCAAAAGUUGACCUAGUUGUCAUUGAAGGAUGUUUCAAUGAACCGAAGCGAGAUUCUUGGUCUAAAGAGGAGUUUGAGGAAAGCAUAAUAAAACCUCGAAAAGGAAUCACAAGGCUAGUGAAAAAUGGUACAUUUGAUCUGACUGAUGGGUGUUGUGAUCAUGAAGGUGCCAUUAUUAUGGAUAAUUCGCAACAAAGGGAAGUUAAGCUUGGAGUAAUGAUUGCAGUGCCUACAGGUGUAAGAGUUCUUGAAGGAGUAUCAAAUCCUUUCAAAGUGCAAGAAGGCAAGACAAAAAAGCCAGGAUCAAAUAAAAAGGGUAAAAAGCCUUCUCCAGUUCCAAUGCGAAACUUGGCACAGACAACCAGCACCCACACAACACAACAUGGCCAAAGUCCUGUUACUCCAGACGAGCAACAUAGUCAUCCACCACCUGCCAUUCAAGAUGUAUUGCAGAAAUCAGAACGUGGAAAGCAUACAGAAUUUCUGACUGAUGACACUGCAGUGGAUAAUCGAGUGAGUUAUCCACCAGCUAUUGUGCCACAGAUGGUUGAGGGAAAUGGGCAAGCCCUAAACUGCAACGGUCAACAGUUUUCUCAACAAAUCCCAGUGCAAAUCUUGUGGCAGCCAACCAAUGCACACUCAAUGCAAAAUGGUCAAGACUAUAGUCUGCCACAAACAAGCAUUCAGAAUCCAUCGCAGGCAACAGGAUAUUGUCCAGUCUAUCAACCCUUACUUGCUCGUGAACAAGAUCAGUAUACUAGUUUCUUUGAUGCAAGUUGUCAACUUGCAUUUCCCAACCUUUCAGCAUACACGACAUUGAAUGAUAUUCACCAGUGGACUUCCAUCCCUGAAGGGGAGAUAUCUGUGGGUGAUGUACAUAAUUUAAUUGUCCCGACACAAAUUCAAGAUACUUAUGGGUCAUUUAGAUGUGGUCAAGUAUUACUUCAAUGGGAUAAGCCUCAUGUGGAGCCCAAGGAACACUGGAACUUCCUUGACGAGCUCAUGCCGCUGCAUAGCACACAGUCAAGGUUUUAUGGAGAAAGUUUCCCCAGUACAAGCCUCAUGGAUAAAGUCCAUAAGUUACUUGCCAGCACUUCAUCAGGUGAUUCUGUUUUGAAGAUGAUUACCGGUGUUAUGAGUCGAGCCAUGCAGACUCCUCAGAGGAGAGGCGUUCUCAUUCGUGCAAUUGAGCCAUAUGAUUCAGAUGAUAAGCCCCCGGUUAAGAAGCAAAGGAACGCCAAAUAUCAACUGCGGUUUGUCAACAGGGUUCGCAAUGACUACUACACCCAGGAACAAAUCAAAUCAGAGGAUGGGAAUCUCUUAAAGGUAGCUUUGUAUGAUGAGAAUAAUCUGGUAGUCACAUCUGGUCCGCUGUCUUCAGCUUCUGUGGAGGUCGUAUUACUUCAUGGCGAUUUCAAUGCUGAAGGCCAAGAUUAUUGGACAUCACAGGAGUUCAGUGCCUGCCUAGUGCAUUCACAAUCUGUAGAAGAACCACCAGCCUUGGGAGGUGAUCGUGUCUUGGCACUGACUCAUGGAGAGGCAGACGUUGGUAAUGUCAGUUUCCAGAUUUCCUCCUUCCAUGCCAGAACUGGAAAGUUCAAGAUGGGUGUUGAGAUUAAAAACGUACGAGAAGAGAGUGUUCAACAAGGAAUCACUAGCCCAUUUCUUGUGAGAGUUCGCCAAGGAGAAGAAUCAAGUCACCAUCGGAUCACAUCUCCCGAAGCGUUGCUCAGAGUAAGAAUGGAAUUGCCCAAACAAGUCUGCGGGGCGCUGCAGUGCGAUGCCACGGAAAACGUCUGCGAGUCAUCGGAUCAGUCGUCGCCGGAGAGAAAUGUCUUGGUGGCGUCGAAGGUGGACGACCAUGACAGCAUAGUACAGAGCGGGAGCGGCGUGUUAUUAUUCCCAGCCCCGCCGCCGUCGCCGGAGCAGGCGCGGGUGCCGCAGCCGGAGCCGGGGCUCAACUGCCCGCGCUGCGACUCCACCAACACAGAGUUCUUCUUCUUCAACAACCACUCCGUCACACAGCCCCGCAACUUCUGCGGCGAAUGCCGCCUUGGGCUGGGCGCCGCGCUUGACAUCGCGGAUCGCGCCGCCGGGGCUCCAGCAGCGGCCGCCUACGUAGCUGCCGCGUCAGGGACGUCAACGUCGACGAAGCCCAGCACCACUGCCACCGCUUGCGCCACCUCUGCGCCAAUGUCGAUGGUGGAGCGGGCGCGGUUGGCCAAGGUGCCGCAGCCGGAGCCGGGGCUCAAGUGCCCGCGCUGCGACUCCACCAACACCAAGUUCUGCUACUUCAACAACUACUCUCUCACCCAGCCCCGUCACUUCUGCCGCGCAUGCCGCCGCUAUUGGACCCGUGGCGGCGCGGUCCGUAACGUCCCCGUGGGCGGCGGGUACAGGCGCAGCGCCAAGUCCAAGGCCUCCCGCAAUGUCCCCGUGGGCGGCGGGUACAGCUGCCACGCCAAGCGCAGCGCAAAGUCCAAAGCCUCCGACGGAGAACCUGCGGCGGCAACAGGGGCAGCAUCGUCUGCAUUGACGGCACCGAAGCCCGACACUCCUUCUUGCACCGGCACCGCACCGCCGGGUCUCCACCACUACUCCAUGUUCUGCACCAAGAGCGAGUCGCCGCACAGCAAUCGGUUUGCCGACAACUUCGACCUGGCGAGCUUCCGCCUUGGCUCCCUCUUUGCUGACGGAGGCGUGCACCACCAGCCGGUGUUGCAGGGGAUGUUCGACUUAGGGCUUCAGAGAGGCGGCGGCAAUUGCAAGGACGGAGCCAGUUCCACCACCACGUGA
RNAcentral lists this ribosomal RNA (3378 nucleotides) under Triticum aestivum (bread wheat). RNAcentral's name for it is "partial small subunit ribosomal RNA". Lineage: Eukaryota; Viridiplantae; Streptophyta; Magnoliopsida; Poales; Poaceae. The record is from RNAcentral.